UGUGGGAGCUGGCUUGCCUGCGAUAGCGGUGUGUCAGUCACAUCCUCAUCUACUGACCCACCGCUAUCGCAGGCAAGCCAGCUCCCACA
RNAcentral lists this unclassified non-coding RNA (89 nucleotides) under Pseudomonas cedrina. Lineage: Bacteria; Pseudomonadati; Pseudomonadota; Gammaproteobacteria; Pseudomonadales; Pseudomonadaceae. The record is from RNAcentral.